Molecule: ribosomal RNA, 497 nt
Filed under: uncultured bacterium
Lineage: Bacteria
Description: partial 16S ribosomal RNA
Rfam family: Bacterial small subunit ribosomal RNA
Source: RNAcentral
GAUGAACGCUGGCGGCGUGCCUAAUACAUGCAAGUCGAGCGAACAGACGAGGAGCUUGCUCCUCUGACGUUAGCGGCGGACGGGUGAGUAACACGUGGAUAACCUACCUAUAAGACUGGGAUAACUUCGGGAAACCGGCGCUAAUACCGGAUAAUAUAUUGAACCGCAUGGUUCAAUAGUGAAAGACGGUUUUGCUGUCACUAAUAGAUGGAUCCGCGCCGCAUGAGCUAGUUGGGAAGGUAACGGCUUACGAAGGCAACGAUGCGUAGCCGACCUGAGAGGGUGAUCGGCCACACGGGAACUUAGACACGGACCAGACUCCUACGGGAGUGAGCAGUAGGGAAUCUUACGCAAUGGGCGAAAGCCUGACGGAGCAACGCCGCGUGAGUGAUGAAGGUCUUCGGAUCGUAAAACUCUGUUAUUAGGGAAGAACAAAUGUGUAAGUAACUAUGCACGUCUUGACGGUACCUAAUCAGAAAGCCACGGCUAACUACGUG